UGGAUCGAUGAUGACCACUGGUGGCGUAGUAUAAGUCAUGGACGAUGACUACAUAUCUGGAAGUCUGAGGUCCGC
Castor canadensis (American beaver) is the source of this 75-nucleotide small nucleolar RNA. The record is from Ensembl. NCBI's taxonomy places the organism in Eukaryota, Metazoa, Chordata, Mammalia, Rodentia, Castoridae.